RNAcentral lists this long non-coding RNA (258 nucleotides) under Hordeum vulgare. Its description in RNAcentral is "long non-coding RNA (HVUL_LNC016307)". Lineage: Eukaryota; Viridiplantae; Streptophyta; Magnoliopsida; Poales; Poaceae. The record is from RNAcentral.
GUUGUGCGCCAGCUUUAGUAGGCUCUCCCUCGCGGAGACGCCUACAUUUGAUGAGUAUCCCAACAACGUGCUAGUCUUCGACGGUCCACCGUCGUCUACGGGAUGCCUUACCCCGUAUGACGUCGCCGUCGUCUCCAACGUUGUGGAGGUGAUGGUCAUCGGUGCCGGCACCAGCACGGCUCACGGCAAGGCGUCAGCUAACGCUGGUGAUCCUGCUGCUGUAUCCGUCGACACGCUUCAUGUUGGGGAACGUCGCAU